UUAGCCGCGUAUUUGCCUCUCGCUCACUCCUAUGGUUAGCUCGCUGUUUUCGUCGAUCUGAGUACUAGGUUUAACGUAAAAUCAUUUUGUCAAGUUCAGAGGCAACUUAUUACGAGAACACCAGUUUCCCACUUUUACUAGGUCAUUUUGAAGAAGUUCACUAUCGGAGAUUGAAUUCACAGACCUAAAUAUUUUAAAAUCGUCAGCAAACAACAUGAAUUCAGAAUUUUUUAUGCAAUAGCUUAUAUCAUUAAUGAAAAUGAUGAAAAGAAACGGACCCAAUGCACUUCCCUGAGGAAGGCCAGAAGUUGCCACAUACAGAGCAGAAGGGUCAACGACCGCGGAAGACGUAGGAUUGAGUCAAUGCAAUCUUCCAAGAAUUUAUUAUGAAGGCCCUGAUAUAAGCGCUCCAGGGCUUUCAAUUUGUCAUCGAAUUCGUCAAUUUUAGAAUGCGAAUCAUUUGCAACCACGCAGCUGUCACAUUGCCAUAGUAUGUUUGGAUUUAAUAAAAGUUUGAGCACAUCGUCCGAUAGGGCUACGCAAGAAUUAUGAUAAGUGCGACGGCACAAAGAAGAACAGCGAACAGCAUCCGAAGCGCGAAGCUGUGCCAAUGUAACAUAGGUAUUGCACUCGGGACUGCGGGGAAGUAACUUAGCGAGAAUUUUAAGCACGUCUGAACGCAAAGAAAGCUAGAUGACGAGUGGAUCUUUCUUGGAUCCAACCUAUCGGAUCUCUCAAAAACUUGGUGUCGGUCGAUGGCCACGGAGAACGCCCCCUUAUCCUUGAGCUGCCAGAACAAUUUUUGACACCUUCACAACACUGGAUACUUGGUCUAAUUCGUUACCUCACCCCAUUAUAAUUUCUAUAGGCAGUCAUUUUCUUUAUUUUCAACUUUUAAUUUACACGACUUUAUAAAUAAAAUUUUUUGCGUUAACGAUUGAUUUUUGACGAACGCCGUUAGCUGCGGUCCAAAAAAUAAGAAAUUUUGCUCGUGCAAAAGCGGUGUGGAACCAAAAAAUUAAAAAUGUAAAAAAUUAAAUGCAGAGAGAAAAAGGACGACUAAUCCAAACUGUUGCCCAUUAUUGUACGUUCUCUCCCUUUAAAUAAGUUUUGCUUAUGCCGAUCAGCUGUUCGCUUCAGGGAUUAUCCACAUGAACAAAAAUCUGCUUCAUUGCCAGGAUGCUGGGCUCCGGCUCCCACUUUCUCAACGCCCGAGUAGUCGCAUUGGAAAUCGGAGCUGAACAACAUGUGUCGGCAAGAAGCUGCCAAGAAUAUGAUGACGAUGCUUGAAACAACUAAUUAAAAUAAAAGUUAACUAAGUUAUCCGAGCGGCGGCAAUGACCGUUCGUUCGACAGCUCGCUCCGGCCAAAACUGCUGACACAGCGUCUGGCCGGAUGCCCAUGCAUAGCCGGCAAACACAGCAUAUUUGCGUGGCCGUUAUGAUUCCAAUUUUUGUUAGCCUUAAGUUCAGUUUCACUCUGAUUUCAAUAAAGAACAGACAUGCUUAAAUAUAACUCCGACCACCGUCGUUAACUUACUUAUCUCUUGGAACACUAACUGAGUCUCUAGGCCAGUAGUGAAAGGAAGACAGUCAUCUUCCCAACGUAAUCUUCGUAACUCAUCAGUUAGCGAGGAGCUAAACACCGGCCAACCGGCUAUUCACACGGAGGACCAGAAGUUGUCCACCGCCCCUAUAAUACAGGACAGCAGCGUGGGACCAGCAGCCGACGUGCGUAAUUCACACAACUUAAUAAUUUAUAUAAAAGCAUGUUGAAUAUUCGAAUUAUUUUUUUUUAAAUCGAUUAAAUUGAUAUUUCUAUUUGUCAACAAACUCAGCAGCUUGACAAGAGCCAUGCCACUUGCAUUGCGGGUGAACUCUAAAAACUACGGUCACACUACAAAGAAAACUAUGUUUCGGCUAGUGAAACUGUUACCGAUCAGAGUAUUUGAUUUAAAUACAUGCGCUGCAAAGGCAAGACUUGCUACAACUCCGCUUCAGCGUAAAGUAAAUAAGUCAAGUAUUUUUUUUUAGGAAUUUAGGAGACAUUUGUAAUUGACGUAGUGCAAUUUUUUUUGGAAAACAGAUAAUUUUUCGUAAGCUGUUGUAAGGACGUUUGUUGAAUUUGAAUAACAAAUGCGAGUUCGAUUCGACAAAAAAAAUACACACGAGGGGGAGAGAAUUAUCGAUAGCAAAAUUGUGUCCUAGACGGUACACGUUGAAAACAGUCUUUUCGAACUCUGGGGCUAUAAUAUUUUUCGAAGAGAAUGGCGAAUCUUGCCAGAACUCUUUGUGACAGCCACGUUUUAAUUUUGUUGGCUUUCAAAA
Molecule: non-coding RNA, 2327 nt
Organism: Drosophila suzukii
Lineage: Eukaryota; Metazoa; Arthropoda; Insecta; Diptera; Drosophilidae
Source: RefSeq, a predicted model, not a curated record